Long non-coding RNA from Symphalangus syndactylus (siamang), 285 nucleotides. RefSeq lists it as uncharacterized. The record is from RefSeq and is a predicted model, not a curated record. Lineage: Eukaryota; Metazoa; Chordata; Mammalia; Primates; Hylobatidae.
GCUUCCUUGCUUCCGCUUGGCCUUCCGCCAUAACUGCUCUACUUUCUGCCAGGAGUGGAAGCAGCCUGAGACCCUCACCAGAGGCAGAUGCUGGCACCAUGCUUCUUGUACAACCUGCAGAACUAUGGAGUCUCGCUCUGUCGCCCAGGCUGGAAUGCAGUGGUGUGAUCUCGACUCACUGCAACCUCCUCCUCCCAGGUUCAAGCGAUUCUCCUGCCUCAGCCUCCUGAGUAGCUGGGACUACAGCCACAUGCCACCACGCCCGGCUACUUUUUGUAUUUUUAA